RNAcentral lists this long non-coding RNA (265 nucleotides) under Carica papaya (papaya). RNAcentral describes it as "long non-coding RNA (CPAP_LNC010307)". The record is from RNAcentral. Lineage: Eukaryota; Viridiplantae; Streptophyta; Magnoliopsida; Brassicales; Caricaceae.
AAAUUGUGAGUUCACAUGUUCUUUACUAAUGGGAACUUAUGCCAUCCCUUAAUGAUCGGGCCAAAGGCCCAAUAGUUUCAAUUCCAGGAUCUUUACUUCAUGACCAACCACCUUAAUAGAAAUCAAUCCUCUUAAAAGUUAAAUAUAAUUAAGGCAUGAUAAUACUUGAAUUUUAAAUCAAAUGGUACUUCUCUACCUCUACAAAAAUAAGAAUUGAAGAUUUGACUCUUAUGUAACACAAAAAUAAAUAUAUAAUUUAUUGUAC